AGUGAACGCUGGCGGUAGGCAUAACACAUGCAAGUCGAACGGCAGCACAGGAGAGCUUGCUCUCUGGGUGGCGAGUGGCGGACGGGUGAGGAAUACAUCGGAAUCUACUUUUUCGUGGGGGAUAACGUAGGGAAACUUACGCUAAUACCGCAUACGACCUACGGGUGAAAGCAGGGGACCUUCGGGCCUUGCGCGAUUGAAUGAGCCGAUGUCGGAUUAGCUAGUUGGCGGGGUAAAGGCCCACCAAGGCGACGAUCCGUAGCUGGUCUGAGAGGAUGAUCAGCCACACUGGAACUGAGACACGGGCCAGACUCCUACGGGAGGCAGCAGUGGGGAAUAUUGGACAAUGGGCGCAAGCCUGAUCCAGCCAUACCGCGUGGGUGAAGAAGGCCUUCGGGUUGUAAAGCCCUUUUGUUGGGAAAGAAAUCCAGCCGGCUAAUACCUGGUUGGGAUGACGGUACCCAAAGAAUAAGCACCGGCUAACUUCGUGCCAGCCGCCGCCGCAG
Molecule: ribosomal RNA, 506 nt
Filed under: uncultured bacterium
Lineage: Bacteria
Description: partial 16S ribosomal RNA
Rfam family: Bacterial small subunit ribosomal RNA
Source: RNAcentral